Molecule: long non-coding RNA, 1238 nt
Organism: Rhododendron vialii
Lineage: Eukaryota; Viridiplantae; Streptophyta; Magnoliopsida; Ericales; Ericaceae
Exons: 2
Source: RefSeq, a predicted model, not a curated record
CCACUUUCUCUAUUUUACCACGUCACUCUUUAGAUUUUCACCUAAUUAAACUCUCUACUUUAACUUUACUCAAUUAUAAUACUUUCUUGUGGUUCUACAAUUUCAGGUUCAAGAGUUCUUCACCGUUCCGAACUUCAAAAUGCAUCGGUUAUUGGCUUCGGUAGAUUACAAUGACUUUCUAUGGAAGAAACUCCAAAAAAAGAGAACGCCUCAGGCACCCCACUACUACACCUGCAUCACCUUGUGCAAGUCGGUCCCAGUCCACGAGUUGAUGACUCCCAUAGCUUGCGCGGUCAAAAUGAUCAACACUAUGUCAGUCAUUCACGACGACCAACCCAGUAUGGACAACGCCGACCUUAGAAGAGGAAUUCUCUCCACCCACAAGGUUUUUGGUGAACAGAGAGAUUGUUUUAGCCGAUUAAUCCCUCGCUUUUGAGCACGUGACUGCUAAAACGUCGGCUUGUUGCCGGACUGCAUGGUUCCAAGCCAUUGCCGAACUGAGUUCAGCAUCCGGAUCAGGACUUGUUGGGAGGGAAAGUGGUGGACCUUUGCAGCGAGGAAAAGACUGGAUAUAAAGGGAGUUGGAUUACAUUCAUAUCAACAAGACAGGAAAGCUGUUGGAGGCUUCCAUUGUGUGCUGGGCAAUUAUGGAAGGAGGGAAUGUUAGUGAGGCGGAGGAAGUACGGUACGUGUAUCGGGUCCUCGUAUCAGGUGGUGGUUGAUGUCUUCAAUUUGGCCAAGUUGUCGGAAUUAUAGGGGAAAACGACUGGUAGCUAUUUGCUGAGCGAUAUGAUACGUAUCCGAAGCUGAGAUGGGUCUUGGUAAGUCUCAGAAGUCUGCAACCGAGCUCAUGAAUAAAGCCAUGGAAGAGCUUGACUAAUUUGAUGCAGCUAAGGCUGCACCCCUGUAUCACUUGGCUAACGACAUUGUCUACCAAUAACUUAUAUAACAGAACACUUCAGUAAAAAAGAAGGAAGAUAGAAGCUUUUUUGGUAUCCGUGAAAGAUAGAAGCGCUAGGUCACAUAAUUCUUAACCGGUAAGAUCUUAUGCUUCUACUCUUAAUCAUUACUCUCCCGAAUUUUGAUACUUUGGAAUGUUAUCAAGAGACGCUUUCGCUCAGGGACGUGAAUUAUGUGACCUAGGAUACAAAGUGUGUUGUGCAACUUGUAAGUAGCAAUUUACCCCUUUUUAGUUUGAUUUGUUUUUCAGUUUGUACAAAGAAAUGAUUUCCUCCAUU